UGGGACUAUCAGAAAAUAUCUAACAUUCAUGUCACCAGAAUCCAAGGAGAAGGAAAAGAAGUCAGGGCCAGAGAAUACUUGGAGAAAUAAAGGCUGAAAACUUUCCAAAUCUGGCAGGAGGUAUACACCUACCAAGUUGAGAAGCUGAGUCAACCUCAAACAGGACAAACUCAAAGAAUGCCAGGAUACAUCAUAAUUGAAGUUCUGAAAAAUAAAGACAGAGGAAACUCUUAAAGAAAAACAGCCAAGAAAAAUGAUGUUUUACGUAACCUGGGAAGACAACCCAAAUGACAGCAGAUUUCUCAUUGGACACCAUGGAAGACUGAAGGAAGUGAUACAACAUUUUUCAAGUGCUGAGAGAAAAGCCUUGGCAACUCAAAAUCUUACAUGCAGUGAAAAUUUGCCUCAGGAAUAAAGAGAAAAUCAAGACAUUCUUACAUUAUAGAAAAUAAAGAGAAUUUAUCAUCAGUAGACCUAUCCUAAAAUGAUGGAUAGAGUAAAUGCUCUAAAUAGAAGAGAAACGAUAAAAGAAGGAAACUUUAGAACAUCAGUAAGAAAUAAAGAACACAGUAAGCAAAAAUGCAGGAAGCUACUGAAGAUGCCCUCACCAGAGUGGGGAGGUAAACUAAGAAAGAUUAUAGAGGACAGAAGGAAGAGGAGAUUUAAAACAGGAGAGGAAAAGGGGGGAAUUUUCAAGAGGAGGAAGAAGAGAGUUUCCUAAUCAUAACUGGGCACCAGGAAACCUCUAGAGGAUGUUCUCCAAUAAAAAAAAGAAGAAGAAGAAGAAGAAAGAAGAACAUACAAGUUCAGAAAGCCCACCCAGGCCUGGAAUAAGUACAAAACUAAUCCAAAAACAGCACUAUCCAGCCAGCCUGGAGGGAAGAAAAAAGGUCUCAAGGGCAUUUUCUCAAAAAAUAUACACAAGAACUGAUAGGUUGGCUAUUGUGAUUGGCUUUAUGCAAUGUUUAUUCAAAAAGGCCAUUCGAGGAGAUGGAAAUAAUUAAAAAUAUAUACAAAGAAAACUAAGCAAAUUUAAAAAACAG
Microcebus murinus (gray mouse lemur) is the source of this 1043-nucleotide non-coding RNA. The record is from RefSeq and is a predicted model, not a curated record. Lineage: Eukaryota; Metazoa; Chordata; Mammalia; Primates; Cheirogaleidae.